RNAcentral lists this ribosomal RNA (497 nucleotides) under uncultured bacterium. Its description in RNAcentral is "partial 16S ribosomal RNA". It matches the Rfam family "Bacterial small subunit ribosomal RNA", at positions 28 to 507 of the family's 1533-position model. The record is from RNAcentral.
GAUGAACGCUGGCGGCGUGCCUAAUACAUGCAAGUCGAGCGAACAGACGAGGAGCUUGCUCCUCUGACGUUAGCGGCGGUCGGGUGAGUAACACGUGGAUAACCUACCUAUAAGACUGGGAUAACUUCGGGAAUCCGGAGCUAAUACCGGAUAAUAUAUUGAACCGUAUGGUUCAAUAGUGAAAGACGGUUUUGCUGUCACUUAUAGAUGGAUCCGCGCCGCAUUAGCUAGUUGGUAAGGUAACGGCUUACCAAGGCAACGAUGCGUAGCCGACCUGAGAGGGGGAUCGGCCACACUGGAACGGAGACACGGUCCAGACUCCUACGAGAGGCAGAAGUAGGGAAUCUUCCGCAAUGGGCGGAAGCCUGACGGAGCAACGCCGCGUGAGUGAUGAAGGUCUUCGGAGCGUAAAACUCUGUUAUUAGGGAAGAACAAAUGUGUAAGUAACUAUGCACGUCUUGACGGUACCGAAUCAGAAAGCCACGGCUAACUACGUG